This 412-nucleotide ribosomal RNA is filed under the name Salmonella enterica. RNAcentral describes it as "partial 23S ribosomal RNA". It matches the Rfam family "Bacterial large subunit ribosomal RNA", at positions 1071 to 1400 of the family's 2925-position model. The record is from RNAcentral. Lineage: Bacteria; Pseudomonadati; Pseudomonadota; Gammaproteobacteria; Enterobacterales; Enterobacteriaceae.
CGAUGUGGGAAGGCCCAGACAGCCAGGAUGUUGGCUUAGAAGCAGCCAUCAUUUAAAGAAAGCGUAAUAGCUCACUGGUCGAGUCGGCCUGCGCGGAAGAUGUAACGGGGCUAAACCAUGCACCGAAGCUGCGGCAGCGAACGUAUCACUUAAAGCGAUUCAGCGGGUUACGAUUGACGGAGCGAAGCGACGUCAAAGCGUAUACAAAGUCGAGUCGGUUUAAGGAUACGUUCGUUGGGUAGGGGAGCGUUCUGUAAGCCUGUGAAGGUGGCCUGUGAGGGUUGCUGGAGGUAUCAGAAGUGCGAAUGCUGACAUAAGUAACGAUAAAGCGGGUGAAAAGCCCGCUCGCCGGAAGACCAAGGGUUCCUGUCCAACGUUAAUCGGGGCAGGGUGAGUCGACCCCUAAGGCGAG